UACAGAGACUGCAAGCGUUAUUCGGAUUUACUGGGCGUAAAGGGUGCGCAGGCGGCCUAGUGUGUGAGACGUGAAAGCCCGGGGCUUAACCCCGGAAUUGCACCUCAAACUACACGGCUAGAGCAUUGGAGAGGGUAGCAGAAUUCAUGGUGUAGCAGUGAAAUGCGUAGAUAUCGUGAGGAACACCAGAGGCGAAGGCGGCUACCUGGACAAUUGCUGACGCUCAGGCACGAAAGCAUGGGGAGCAAACAGG
RNAcentral lists this ribosomal RNA (253 nucleotides) under uncultured bacterium. RNAcentral describes it as "partial 16S ribosomal RNA". It matches the Rfam family "Bacterial small subunit ribosomal RNA", at positions 524 to 776 of the family's 1533-position model. The record is from RNAcentral.